AUGGGAUCUAGAUCCAGCAGAUCGGCAGAUGUUUCACCCAGCGGCCAGGGACAAAACUCAAUAUUUGACUGUAUGGUUAAGAAAUGGGGAAUUGGGUGUAUGAAAUAUGUUGUUAAGUGGCAAAAAGUAAACGGGUUUCCCGAAAAGGGAUCGCUGAGUGUUAACCAGUUAAAGAAAAUAGAGGAACAGUUGCGAGAGGAAGAAGCAAAAUUAUUGGGAAAAGGAAAAGUUAGGACAAUAGAUCUACGUAGAGUAAGCGAUGAGAGGGAAUGCUUGAAAAUGUGGAUAGGGGAAGCAGAAAGAAGAGAAAACAAAGCAGCUCUGAAAGAAUUACCUAGAGAAGUGCGUGGAAGGGAGGCUGACGCAGAAUCUGCCUCAGCGCCUCUUCCACCUCCGUAUAACACGGAGAACAAAACACCAUUUCCCUGUUCACGCACUGUUUGUGCUUCCCCAGUACAGGCUGUUUUGCAGGGCCUGAAAGCCGAUGCGGACCUGGACUCCUUUCCCUCCCCAUCCCGCUCUGCACCACGCGCCCCACAGCCAGAGGAUGCAAGUGCCAAUCCCGCUACUGAGGAGCGACAGCCCCGUCAGGAUGAAGCGGAAAGAAUGACACUCAGAUCUGACACAGCGCUCAGCAACACACGGAGCGUGCCGCGAGCUGAAGCGACAAAAACACAGCAACGGAGAGCUGUGAGAGGAAAGAACAGAAGUAAGGCCAGCCGCCAUGGAUAUUACGUCCUGCCUUUUGCCACGGAUCAGCCUGAAUAUUGUCCCACUGAUGAUGAGCGGGACGAUACAGAGAGUGCAGACAGCGGCAAGGAGGCCGAAAACCUCCAGACCGUGCGGAGAAUGCGGAGGCGGCGACAGGCGAGAGGAGAAGACCUGCAGCUCCUGAUGGUGGAAGUGGCAGGGCCCGAGGGACCCAUUUUAGUUCACAGACCGUGGACACAAUCAGACAUCGCUGACGCCACAAGCCAUCUACCUGACCCUCUCAUGUCGGGAGCAAGGUUCGGUGAGCAGCUCCUAAUUUUCUGCCAAGAAUAUCGUCCCACGGGUCAAGAAAUUAGACGUGCAGUGGCAGGCAAGCUGAAGCCAUGCGACCUGAGGAAAAUAUCGCGUCACUUGCCUGAUCCUACGCUGAGGAUACGACACCUGACCUAUGAGCAUGGAGAAAACCGUGAAUAUUGUACUGCAGUAACCCACCUAAUGGAUAAGCUAAAGGAGGUUUUCCCGGACAAGGUGGACAUGGCAAAGAUUCAGGCUUGCAAGCAAAGAAAGGAUGAAUCCGUGGACGAUUUCAUACAUCGCAUGACAACUGUGUUUGAAGUUAAUGGUGGAAUACCCAAAGAUGACAUGACGGGCAACUCCGCCUCCACAUAUGAGCACCAUCUGUGCGGCCAUAUUUUCCGGGGACUGAGACCAGAUGUGGCAGCCGAGGUGAGGCGUUCAUAUGUGGGGGGAGAAGAUGAACCUCGGCUAAUGGAACUGCGACGCCAUGCCCGCCAUGCUCAGAAUCACCUGGACGAAAGGAAAAUCAAGAAAGAGGAAAAACAGAGCGCCGACCUCCACAACGCGGCCUUAACGCUGUACAAGACCGCAGCGAACCCGCGGAGUGGCUUUCACAGUAAAGGCAGCUGGCGCGUCCGAAGCCAGGGAGGAAGACGUGAUCGAGGACACAAUCAACAGCGACAACAGUGGGGAGUAGACCCAGACGCCUGCUUUGUCUGUGGCGAGCAUGGACACUGGCAGCGGGAUUGCCCUAACCAAGGUCGCCCCCGACCCGACCAGCAUCAUGGCCAAAGUGAACAAACGCAGAGCCAGCGGUGGGUGCAUGCGGACUGA
This 1842-nucleotide long non-coding RNA is filed under the name Oreochromis niloticus (Nile tilapia). Its description in RNAcentral is "lncRNA (ENSONIG00000034277.1)". Lineage: Eukaryota; Metazoa; Chordata; Actinopteri; Cichliformes; Cichlidae. The record is from RNAcentral.